GGACGAACGCUGGCGGCGUGCCUAAUACAUGCAAGUCGAACGGUCUUUCUAUGGAAGCUGCUUCCACUGAAAAGAUAGUGGCGAACGGGUGAGUAACACGUGGGUAACCUGCCCAUAAGAGGGGGGAUAACAUCCGGAAACGGGUGCUAAUACCGCAUAGUUUUCUUGAUCGCAUGAUCGGGAAAGGAAAGACGGCCUUUGUGCUGUCGCUUAUGGAUGGACCCGCGGCGUAUUAGUUAGUUGGUGAGGUAACGGCUCACCAAGACGAUGAUACGUAGCCGACCUGAGAGGGUGAUCGGCCACAUUGGGACUGAGACACGGCCCAAACUCCUACGGGAGGCAGCAGUAGGGAAUCUUCCGCAAUGGACGAAAGUCUGACGGAGCAACGCCGCGUGAGUGAAAGAAGGUUUUCGGAUCGUAAAACUCUGUUGUCAGAGAAGAACAAGUUGGAGAGUAACUGCUCCAGCCUUGACGGUAUCUGACCAGAAAGCCACGGCUAACUACGUGCCAGCCGCCGC
Molecule: ribosomal RNA, 518 nt
Filed under: uncultured bacterium
Lineage: Bacteria
Description: bacterial SSU rRNA
Rfam family: Bacterial small subunit ribosomal RNA
Source: RNAcentral